GUCACGAGUCAGAGUGGUUGUGGUUGGUACAUCACUGCCGGAUUUCAAAAGAGUACUUUCAGUGCGACCGCGUAUUUAAAAAAAGAUACAUACCGGCGGACCGUCAGAAAUUUACCGACGAACGCAAUUAUGAUCAAAAAAUAUAAGUAUUUUAUAUUGUAUUUAUUUAUAAAUAAAAUAUACCGGCGGACCCUAAGAAAUAUACCACCGAACGCAGUUAUAUUCAAAAAAAAUGCCGCCUAAGGACUUUCAGUGUGACCGCGUAUUUAUAAAUAAAAUAUACCGCCGAACCCUCAGCAGUAUACCUAAGAACGCAAUUAUCAGUAAAAAUAUACCGCCUGUUAUUCAGAAAUAUAGUCAAUUAUCAGUACUUUGGGUAUCGAUAAGCGUGUAAUCGAUAUUUCAUAUUCGAUAGCCGAUGUUAGGUCGGUAAAUUCAAUUAAAUCAAAUCAAAAAACUAAAAGUGCAAUAAAUAUACGAAAAAUAGUAUUAAUCCAGCAGCAGCCAUCAUCAACAACUACAACAGCAGCAACAGCAACAAAUACAUUUAUUUUUGAAGUGCAAACGGUGCAGUUGGAAAUGAUAGAUUUGACUGUGUGUUACGAACCUGUUUUGGUGUUGGGGCAAGGCCGGCUAGCCAGUCAUCCCAGGGCUGAGUUCUUCCCAGGCCCCCAGGUCGCACAACAAACCAACUGUUCGGACAUCUCGAACAAAUAUCAAAAACAAACGAUAAUUCAAAACAAUGCAUCGGACUUUACUCUACAUCUAACGGACAAACAUCUCUCCAACACAGACGUGGACAAGUCUGAGGUGCCGAUGGUCUAGCUCCUACGUACUCUACCUGAGAAGCGACUCGGAAUACCUCAGAUCUCCUUCCCAAGUGUGGCGGACUUUCUCCAUCUCGCCGAUGUGGUCCCCUUUCCCCCCCAUACUAAACACACUAGCACUUCAUUUUAAACGUUAUAAUAUUUAAACCAAAAACUUAACACAUACUUAACUAAAAAUUCCUAUACUAAUGUCUCGUGGCGCGUCCGCCUAUUCCCGACUCUUCAACUUAAAUUAAUGGGUGGGAAUAAUCACAAAAAAAUAAUAAAUAUAAAUAAUAAAAUAAAUAUAUAUACAAAUACUACAUUUAUAUUACAUUAAUAUGGUCGGUAAAUAUAUGUGGGGUGGCUAAUUAAUUGAAUAUUAAUUAAUAUAGAAAGAUAUUAUUUUUGUGUGUCUUUAUAUACGCAUGUAAAUAGGUAUGCGUUUAUGUAGGCGUAGAUUAAUUAUAUUAAUUGUCGCUGGGGCUGUGGCGGGUCGCGCCCGAGCAGGGGUGUGACCAGGAUUCCGCGGGCCGGGGAAUGGUAAUUUUGGCCCAUCUACGGGAAGCCAGCCGAUACAAUUUACGCCCUAUGGGUUUUAAAAAUAUUGAAUCUGGGAUUCAUUUUCCCUUUGGACUGGACUCACUUUUUAUUUCGAUUCGGGUAAAAGGGUCCUCUACGUUGGCCGGUCUGUUUUUUUUUCCUUAACGGUCACACACACAAAACGCCCUAACACUGCCGAUGUGUAUUUUCCCACUGCCGGCAUGUUCAGCGUAGCUACUCUACGCAGUCCCCCUUGCUGCAGUUGAUCUCAUCUCUUCUACUGCCCUUGAACCAAAUUCAAGGGCAUCGCAUGGCAUUCUUGAGGGUGUGGGUGAGCUGGCUCGUGGAUCCCGCAAUAUUCCCCUCUCUUACAUUCUCCCGCUCUCUCACCGGCACCGUUGAUCGCCUUGCCCCUUCGCCUAUCGACCUAUCAACCUCCAAAAAAAUACUACCAAAUCUAGUAUUUUGCAUAUCGCUCUCCUUCGAAUGCAACACCUAGCGAAAAUUCAGGCGUGCCUGUACGGAAGAAUUAUUCGCAAACACUCGAAGGACAUUGAAAGCUAACGCUUGCCCUAGGGUCUUGCAGCGCCCAACGUAGGCUCACACCCACUCGGUUUGUACAUGAGUGCCCUAUUCUUCUUCCCUUCUCUAAAGCUUUCCCACUACAAUUUCAGGUCUUUGGCGUGAAAAAUCCCCACCGGUUUCCCCGCCAGGUCUUCAAGUUCGUAGGCAUUAUUUGCAUCCGGACGUACGACUCGGCACUUCAGGAACUUCCGGGCGAAUUUGGCGUUGUAGCUCUUCCCAAAGUCAAUGAGGGUGAAAUUGCGCCUGUAUACUUCUUGCCCAGGUUUGGCGAAAAAUAUUCGGGCCCGUUUGUUGUAGCUCUGGCUGCUGUGCUCGUACGCUUGGUGAAGGUUGGCCUUGAUACGUUCCCGGAUGAUGUGGCACUUAUCCGCGGGGUUCAACGCGUGCACCUCAUGCUCCGUCAGCGACUGCAGCUUCCUCGCCAACUUAUAGCAGUUCCCAUUAAGGAACAUUUGCUGUCCAAAAACUGCAAAAAACGGCGUCACGCCUGUGGCUUCGUGCACUGAGUCACGGAUCGACACUUCAAUCUCCGGUAGGUACAUAUCCCAGUCUGGAUGAUCCUUCUCUAAAUACGUCCUGAUUGCAGCUAAUAUUGUCCGGUUCACCCUCUCGGCGGCAUUGCUCUGUGGUGAGUAGACUGCUGUGCGCAGAUGUCGGGCGCCGAAGGUGCUCAUCAUGUCCUGGAAGAUCUUCGACAGGAACUGCUUUCCGUUGUCGGAGUGGAUCACCUCGGGCACCCCAAACUUGUAGAACACUUCCUGUACUAGGAAUUGAACUACGUUCGCAGCGGUCGCCUCUCUCAUCGCUUUUAGAAAGGUGAAUUUAGA
Molecule: long non-coding RNA, 2761 nt
Filed under: Drosophila guanche
Lineage: Eukaryota; Metazoa; Arthropoda; Insecta; Diptera; Drosophilidae
Source: RNAcentral